RNAcentral lists this ribosomal RNA (406 nucleotides) under uncultured bacterium. RNAcentral describes it as "partial 16S ribosomal RNA". It matches the Rfam family "Bacterial small subunit ribosomal RNA", at positions 30 to 526 of the family's 1533-position model. The record is from RNAcentral.
AUUGAACGCUGGCGGCAGGCCUAACACAUGCAAGUCGAGCGAGCGGCGGACGGGUGAGUAAUGUAUGGGGAUCUGUCCGAUAGAGGGGGAUAACUACUGGAAACGGUGGCUAAUACCGCAUACUAUAGGAUGACCCAAUAUGGGAUUAGAUAGUAGGUGGGGUAAAGGCUCACCUAGGCGACGAUCUCUUGCUGGUCUGAGAGGAUGAUCAGCCACACUGGAACUGAGACACUGCCCAGACUCCUACGGUAGGAAGCAUUGGGGAAUAUUGCACAAUGGGCGCAAGCCGGCUACAGCCAUGCCGCGUGUAUGAAGAAGGCCUUAGGGUUGUAAAGUACUUUCAGCGGGGAGGCGUUACCCGCAGAAGAAGCACCGGCUAACUCCGUGCCAGCAGCCGCGGUAAUUC